UAUUGCACAAUGGGGGAAACCCUGAUGCAGCAACGCCGCGUGAGUGAUGACGGCCUUCGGGUNGUAAAGCUCUGUCUUCAGGGACNNUANNNANGGUACCUGAGGAGGAAGCCACGGCUAACUACGUGCCNNNANCCGCGGUAAUACGUAGGUGGCGAGCGUUGUCCGGAUUUACUGGGCGUAAAGGGAGCAUAGGCGGACUUUUAAGUGAGAUGUGAAAUACUCGGGCUCAACUUGAGUGCUGCAUUUCAAACUGGAAGUCUAGAGUGCAGGAGAGGAGAAUGGAAUUCCUAGUGUAGCGGUGAAAUGCGUAGAGAUUAGGAAGAACACCAGUGGCGAAGGCGAUUCUCUGGACUGUAACUGACGCUGAGGCUCGAAAGCGUGGGGAGCAAACAGG
This 397-nucleotide ribosomal RNA is filed under the name uncultured bacterium. RNAcentral describes it as "partial 16S ribosomal RNA". It matches the Rfam family "Bacterial small subunit ribosomal RNA", at positions 362 to 776 of the family's 1533-position model. The record is from RNAcentral.